Molecule: long non-coding RNA, 391 nt
Organism: Coregonus clupeaformis (lake whitefish)
Lineage: Eukaryota; Metazoa; Chordata; Actinopteri; Salmoniformes; Salmonidae
Exons: 3
Source: RefSeq, a predicted model, not a curated record
AUAUUUAAAUAGAUGUUUGAUUGCUCUAGUCUAUGGGUGUAUCAGUUGCAGCCUUGAGACUGGAAUUCUCUCCAUGCAACCCCCUAAUCCUUAUCUGAACGCUGUGACAACAAAGUCACUUUACUGCAGCGCACACAUUUCUUGUCUUAGUAAGAAACGCUGAAGAAACAAUAGCUUCCACAAUGGAUCCGGACAAAUCUAGCCCGCCCCCCUCCACCCUCCAGGAGUCCCCAGGUCGACCGCCUCCCGGUACUUUACUGCUGGGUCUGGUCAACUGCAGGAAAACACCGGGGCAGAGUGAAACUGAGAGAGGAAAAGGAGAAGAGGAACAUGGAGAUUUGAUUUCAUUAAGGGACAGCCCUAAUCGUUGCUCUCUCAGUGGGAGGGGCUU